Molecule: ribosomal RNA, 394 nt
Filed under: uncultured bacterium
Lineage: Bacteria
Description: partial 16S ribosomal RNA
Rfam family: Bacterial small subunit ribosomal RNA
Source: RNAcentral
CCUACGGGUGGCUGCAGUGAGGAAUAUUGGUCAAUGGGCGGAAGCCUGAACCAGCCAUGCCGCGUGCAGGAAGACGGCCCUAUGGGUUGUAAACUGCUUUUGUACAAGGGUAAACCUGAAUACGUGUAUUCAGCUGCAUGUACUGUACGAAUAAGGAUCGGCUAAUUCCGUGCCAGCAGCCGCGGUAAGACGGAGGAUACAGGCGUUAUCCGGAUUUAUUGGGUUUAAAGGGAGCGUAGGCGGAUUGAUAAGUUAGAUGUGAAAUGUCCGGGCUUAACCCGGGAACUGCAUCUGAUACUGUCGGUCUAGAGACUAGGUGCGGUAGGCGGAAUGUGUGGUGUAGCGGUGAAAUGCUUAGAGAUCAUACAGAACACCGAUUGCGAAGGCAGCUUAC